GAUCCAGACUCCUACGGGAGGCAGCAGUGAGGAAUAUUGGUCAAUGGCCGAGAGGCUGAACCAGCCAAGUCGCGUGAGGGAAGGCGGCCCUACGGGUUGUAAACCUCUUUUGUCGGGGAGCAAAGCGAACCACGUGUGGUUCAUUGAGAGUACCCGAAGAAAAAGCAUCGGCUAACUCCGUGCCAGCAGCCACGGUAAUACGGAGGAUUCAAGCGUUAUCCGGAUUUAUUGGGUUUAAAGGGUGCGUAGGCGGUCGGAUAAGUUAGAGGUGAGAUCCCGAGGCUCAACUUCGGGAUUGCCUCUGAUACUGUUCGGCUAGAGAGUAGUUGCAGUAGGCGGAAUGUAUGGUGUAG
Molecule: ribosomal RNA, 353 nt
Filed under: uncultured bacterium
Lineage: Bacteria
Description: bacterial SSU rRNA
Rfam family: Bacterial small subunit ribosomal RNA
Source: RNAcentral